Molecule: long non-coding RNA, 5641 nt
Organism: Equus caballus (horse)
Lineage: Eukaryota; Metazoa; Chordata; Mammalia; Perissodactyla; Equidae
Source: Ensembl
CGCCUCUGCCGCUCCUGCUCCAGACAAACAACGAUCCACGAUCCACGGAGGUCCCCCAGCCAGCGCGCUUCCCCUCUUCGGCCUGCGGCCUCCUCGUGCAUCUGAUUGGCCGGCCUCGGUCAUGGGCUGCCUCUUGGCUGCGAAGCAGCCUGGGAGAGCUUAGACUUCUCCCUGGAGAGAGCAGGACUCGGAGUGUGGGGAGCUGGCUCGAGGUAGCCAGGGAGACCAGAGCAACCGUCUGUGGGUCCUUCCAGAUACCAUCUACACUUGAGGGUGAAUUACUGCGAGAUGAACGUCGAUUCCCUGUCUGACUGCUCUAACGUUUGUGGAGUUCAAUGCUCAAGGGUAAAUUCUCAAUGCUCGAGGCCCUCCUACAGUUGACUCCUUCCCACGGCUCCCCCAGGAGGCCCUGCGUGCCAAGCAUUCCAGAAAACUCCUGGUACCCCCUUGCCUGGCCUUCUUUAACUGCCUUGGGCUCCUGCUCUUCAGGCCCAGCUCAGGUCUGCCUGCCCCCGAAGCUCCUUUCUCAGACGGAGCCCAGACUGCGAGAGCAAGGGAGGAAAUUCCUGUGAUCCAGAAGAUUAGAAACAGGGUAGGGAGAGCCCCAAGGAGAGGGGUUUGGCUCGGCUGAGCCCCUGAACUGUUACUCUCUGUGCUCUGUGGAGCCACAGCCAUCACAUCACAGGGCUUGUCUCCCAACCCUGUUGAGGAGGGGAGGAAACCCUAUAUCGUGCUGAAUAGAGAGCUCACUCGUUCUGGAGCAAAAUCUGCAAGAGAAACUGGGAUGGAGCUGGAAGAGACAGGGGCCCGACAAACCCAAUUGAGGCAGGAAACCUCAGGGCACCUCAGAGGAACAGGGCAGGGAUGGCUGCCCAGUUGACAUGUCUCUGACUCCUUCAGUGGUGGCCACUCUCAAGGAGAGUCCACUGAACCGUUCUUAAGAAGACAAGGAGAUGAUGGUGAAUGCAGAAGAUGGGCAGGUGGAUGUCCGCCCAGGAGCUCACUGUCCGUUCAUGUCAUUCUCCUUCACUUGCGCAGGCAUCCAGCAAUUCAGGUCCUUGGGCUGGUGUCCCAGGCACUGAGCUCCAGGCUGGGCACAAAAGGGAAGACAGCCCCUGCCCUCCAGGGUCUCGGGGACCCCGGGGAGACACUGGACUAAUCGCAGGAGAACAAGGCACAAGGAGGCACAGAGGAAAUGGUGGCUGAAGCUGGGAAGUGUUUAAAGGAGGCCUAGGUGAGGGUGGAUGUUCAUCAGGCUGCCGUCCAGUAGUCCAGGGCAAAUGGGGAGGGCAGAGGGCCGCUCCAGGCCAGGGUGGAGGGCGGCUCCUCCCACACGAGGCCACGUGGGGACCUCACUGUCUUCCCUCUCCUGGAUCAUUUCUUCUUCUCCCCAUUCCUUCUGUUCACAUUUCACUUGACUCUCGGGGUCUACCUCAGGUUCCCUCUCCUCCAUGAUGCGUUUCUUCCUCCAGCAUUCAGCAGUGCCCCCCUCCCGUGAACUUCUACAGCUCUUUCACCUGUGGCAGAGCAUUCAGUGCUUGAAGAAAUUGUUGUGUCUGUCUUUUUGUUUUUCUUUUCUGACUUGAUUGGAAACUACUUGAGCGUAAUGGUUACAUCUCAUACUUUGUUUUAUCUACAACAGUGCCCAGCACAUAGUCAGUGCCCAGCACAUAUUGGUGAUUGGUAAAAAUAAUACAAAUAAAUUAUCUCCCUCUCCUUCUCUCUCUUUCUCUCUCUCUCUCCUUCCCUUGCUCCCCUCUGUCUCCCUUCCACUCUCUCUGCCUCCUUCUCUCUCUCUUUCUUCCUCUCUCGUCUUCCCUCGCUCCCUCCCUUCCUUCUCUCCAAGGUCACAGCAGGAGGAGCACAGAGACAGCUGACCUACAUGAGCCCCCUCUGUGGCUCAUCCAGGAGAACCUCGUUGAGGAGACGCUUUGCAGGAUGGAAGCCUUUUGCAGAUGGAGAGCAAAAUCAGGCUGUGGGCUUUUGCAGGAGGCAAAAUUAUAAUUUGCAUUUCUCUGCGGAGUGAGAACUCUGUAAUUUAGGAUUUUGUCUAAUUGCUGUUUAGAGUUCCAGGGACUCUUUCUCUUCAGGCAGCCAUGUACUGGUUGGAGAGAGGCACUCUGAAUGGCCCUGAAGCUCCGUCCAGCCAUGGGAGCAGACAGGGAGCUGGUCAGUGCUGGAGUUCUGCAUUUUUUUCUGGAGUCCUGAUUUGUCCAGCAGUUGGAGGACAGGGACAGCACUGGCGCUGUGGGGGUUACAAGCACAUAUCUGCAGACAGCAUCUUUGGUCUGUGGCUGCUCCAAUUUCAGCUCCGAGCAGCUGCUAGCCAGAAACGAGGGGACCCCAGAGGCAGGCACAUCCAUGUUCUUCUGCAGCUGGGCUCUCCUUGCACACGUGUGUGAGGCUGCAGCCUCUCUGUUUCUCAUUUGCACUGUGGACAUUUGGAAAGUUACCUACGUCCGUUGAAAAAUUAUUUUUGAGCUUUCCUAAGUGGUGGUAAGAAUGACAAGCAGAUCCCUUGAGUACCUGGGGAGGAAUCAGGCACUACAGGCCCCACUCUCCCUACGAGCCCCACACAGGUUCAAACCCAACCCAAUCCAACCUGCGCUGUCUCCUUCUGUCUGAGUUUGGAGUGUCACCAGCAAUCAAUUUGUUUUUAAAGAAGGGCACAUCAAAAGACAGACAUUAUGGCCAUUUUUAUGGAUCUUGGGCAAACACCUUGGCAGAUGUAAAGCAAGCGUACUUUUCACUCAACUUUUUAUAACUGGCAACUCCUUGUGGUGAUAAGUUAAGGCCUCAGUUGUUAAAGCCACGGGGAGUACUGUUUCCAGGUGGGGCAGUGGCCAAGCUAAGAACAGGACGUUCUCCAACUGUCCUAUCUCCAGGGUCAUGGCCGGAUUCGGAUCCCUUCGCACCUGGCCACACCUUUUAUAAAGGUCAAGCCUGGCCGAAAUGAACAUCCUGGAAGUUUUGAAAGGGACGAAAGCACUUUAGACUUUACUACAACAUAGCACAGGGCUACAUAUAGAACAGAGCGUGUGUAUGUGUGUGUGUGUGCACGCGCACGUGUGUGUAGCGGGGAAGGCACUGUUGACAGGAAAGUAGUCGUGUUGAGAGCCAGCUGUCUCAACAUUGCAAAAUAAUGAUGAGUUACUGUGUCUUGUUUGCUUUCUACAUUAUCUUAUCUUAAUCUUCAAAACAACUCUAAAAUAUUACUAUCCCACUUUCCUAAACGAGGAAACUGAGACUCAGAUAACGUAUUAGUUUGCCAGGGCUGCUGUAACAAAGCACCACAAACUGUGUGGCUUAAACAACUGAAGCUCCUUCUCUCACAGCACUGGAGGCCGGAAGUCUGAAUGCAAGGUGGCAGCAGGGCCGUGCUCCCUCUGAGAUUCUGGAUAGAGUCCGUCCUUGCCUCCUCCUAGCUCCUCAUGGUGUCGGUCGAUCCUUGAGGUUCUUUGACUUGCAGCCACCUCACUCCAACCUCUGCCUCUGUCCCCAAGUGACGCUCUCCCCUCUGUGUGUCUUGGUGUCUGUGUUGUCUUCUCUUCUUAUAAGAACACCAGGCACGUUGGAUGAAGAACAAACCUUCCUCCAGGAAGAGUUUAUCUCAACUUAACUAAUCACAUCUCUAUUUCCAAAUAAGGUCACAUUCCGAGGUACUGGGAGUUAGAUCUUCCACAUACGUUUUUGAGGGAUACAAUUCAACCCAUAAUACAUAUGGAAGUAUCUUGCUUAAGGUAACACUGCCUGCAAAUGCAGAGAACAUUUGAACUCAGAACUGGCUCCCAAACUCUUUUUCUUUCCCAUACACUAAUUUAUGCAAUUGCACUAAUUAAGGUGUGAGAGUCCCUCACAUUUAUUUUAGCUUUGUAUUUUCUUAUCUACAACCCCCUUUGCAGCCCAGUUACUGUCCCUGCAGCGGGAGGAUGAGAAGGAAGAUGAAGGUCAGUGCUGGGAGCUGAGUGAAACUCAAGGACUGUGUCUGUAUCAGAGGUCCAUCAGGAAAACAGAAAUCACGCCAGAUAUUUCAAAUAGAGAGAAUUUAAUAUAGGAAUUUGGUUAUAGAUGUGUCAGAAGGACCGAAGGGAAAAAAAAAGAGAGAGAGACUAUAGUAGGAACAAAAACAGAGACUACAGAGGCCAGCCUGCUGGCAUAGUGGUUAACUUUGUGCGCUCCACUUUGGCAGCCCAGGGUCUAUGGGUUUGGAUCCCAGACACAGACCUACACCACUUACAAAGCCAUGCUGUGGUGGCAUCCCACAUACAAAAUAGAGGAAGAUUGGCACAGAUGUUAGCUCAGGGCCAAUCUUCCUCACACACACACACAAAAGAGACUACAGUAGGAUAUCAUAUGUGGGCAAUGUGGCAGCCUAGGUGUCAGGAGAAACGUCCCUAUAUAACUUUACAAACGUUCAGCAGAGGUAAAGGGAAAGAAAGGGAGAUUGUUAAAGACCUGAAAUGAUGUAAGAGAAAGCCAAAGCAUCUAUUCACCGCACAGGCGUUCUCCAUUCAUGGUCUUCCAGACCUUGGGUUUUAAGAGGCUACGGCCCUGGUGGCAGUGAGUAAAGUUUGGACCACACAAGAUGGAAUGUCAGACAAGACAUACUUAUGAGUGCCUCUCUUGAACUAGAAAAGACCACUGGACAGAGAAACAAUAAGAACACUUGCUUAUCUAAACCUUGGCUCUGAGGGAAGCAAAAAACAAAACCAGAAGUCCCCCAUGAAAAGACUCCUAAAAGAGUCUCCCAUGAAACUUCCUAACCACAAGCCUACACUCAUGUGGUCUGCGGCCAGAAUUCAUGGUUCUCAUGGGGCCCCAAAUCCUAAGCCCCAAAUUUUGUUUCAGAGAGUUCCAGGCUGGUGGCAUCCCAGGUGGCAGGCAGAAGCGCACAGGAAACCUCUCUGGAGGAACACAGUUCAAACCCAGAUUCCCCACAGGUACAGUUCCAGGGAAGAUGAGCUCACACAGAAAUCAGCAAACGCACGAGGAAACAAGUCACUGUAAGUGAGGGGCAACAGAAACCACAGCAGCAGAAUAAGAGUCACAAAGACAGCAGGUGUUGGAAUGACUAGAGACCAAAUAUGAAAGCAAUGUGUUUAAUAUAUUUAAAUAAAUAAAUGUGCAUUAAAAUAUAAUGAAGAAACAAAGAUGAUCAACAAUGACCAGGCCUUAUCUAGGAGGUUUUGAUUACAAUGGGUAAGUGGAAUUUGCCUGUAGACAGCCACUUUGUGUCAGAGAAGCCAGAGUUUCUGGAGGGGGUUGAGCUGAGGACCACUGUAGGGGGCGGGGUGGCCCCUUUGAGUGCUUAGGCAGGUAACAUUACUCUACACAAGGUAUUCCCAAUUGGAACAUGAUUGGAGAGAUGUUGAAAAGAUAGAAUAUUUUUGGGGGGUGGGAGGUGCUUCAUUGUAAAUGGAGAGAGACAGACAGAGCUCCCAGACAGGAAAGGAGGCAUAAUGUGUCACAUGCAGGCAAUAUGGCAGCCUCUCCCCAAAGAGAAGCAGAGCCCAAUCCUUGCUCCUGGCAGUGCUUGGUGAUGGGACAGAACUUCUGAGAAGAUGACUUGUGGGGUAUCUGAUGAAGCUCAGUCUUGGACCCCGGGGCACCCAGACUUGGCAGAGAUUCCUGGCCCAGAAGC